GAUGAACGCUGGCGGCGUGCCUAAUACAUGCAAGUCGAGCGAACGGACGAGAAGCUUGCUUCUCUGAUGUUAGCGGCGGACGGGUGAGUAACACGUGGAUAACCUACCUAUAAGACUGGGAUAACUUCGGAAAACCGGAGCUAAUACCGGAUAAUAUUUUGAACCGCAUGGUUCAAAAGUGAAAGACGGUCUUGCUGUCACUUAUAGAUGGAUCCGCGCUGCAUUAGCUAGUUGGUAAGGUAACGGCUUACCAAGGCAACGAUGCAUAGCCGACCUGAGAGGGUGAUCGGCCACACUGGAACUGAGACACGGUCCAGACUCCUACGGGAGGCAGCAGUAGGGAAUCUUCCGCAAUGGGCGAAAGCCUGACGGAGCGACGCCGCGUGAGUGAUGAAGGUCUUCGGAUCGUAAAACUCUGUUAUUAGGGAAGAACAUAUGUGUAAGUAACUGUGCACAUCUUGACGGUACCUAAUCAGAAAGCCACGGCUAACUACGUG
RNAcentral lists this ribosomal RNA (497 nucleotides) under uncultured bacterium. RNAcentral describes it as "partial 16S ribosomal RNA". It matches the Rfam family "Bacterial small subunit ribosomal RNA", at positions 28 to 507 of the family's 1533-position model. The record is from RNAcentral.